RNAcentral lists this ribosomal RNA (440 nucleotides) under uncultured bacterium. Its description in RNAcentral is "partial 16S ribosomal RNA". It matches the Rfam family "Bacterial small subunit ribosomal RNA", at positions 338 to 795 of the family's 1533-position model. The record is from RNAcentral.
CCUACGGGUGGCUGCAGUAAGGGAUCUUGGUCAAUGGGCGAAAGCCUGAACCAGCAACGCCGCGUGAGGGAAGACGGUUUUCGGAUCGUAAACCUCUGUUCUUUGUGAAGAUGAUGACGGUAGCUGACGAGGAAGCUCCGGCUAACUACGUGCCAGCAGCCGCGGUCAUACGUAGGGCGCGAGCGUUGUCCGGAUUUACUGGGUGUAAAGGGUGCGUAGGCGGCUUGGCAAGUCAGUAGUGAAAUCCAUGGGCUUAACCCAUGAACUGCAAUUGAAACUGUCGAGCUUGAGUGAAGUAGAGGUAGGCGGAAUUCCCGGUGUAGCGGUGAAAUGCGUAGAGAUCGGGAGGAACACCAGUGGCGAAGGCGGCCUACUGGUCUUUAACUGACGCUGAGGCACGAAAGCGUGGGUAGCAAACAGGAUUAGAUACCCUAGUAGUC